AACGAACGCUGGCGGCAUGCCUAACACAUGCAAGUCGAACGAAGGCUUCGGCCUUAGUUGCGCACGGCUGCGUAACGCGUGGGAAUCAGCCCUUUGGUACCGUACACUAGCCGGUAGCGGCUGUUAAUACCGGUUGAUGUCGAACGUCCUAAGAUUUAUGGCCAGAGGAUGAGCCCGCGUUGGAUUCGGCAGUUGGUGGGGUAAUGGCCUAUCAAGCCGACGUUGCAUAGCUGGUGGGAGAGGAUGAUCAGCCACACUGGGACUGAGACACGGCCCAGACUCCUACGGGAGGCAGCAGUGGGGAAUAUUGGACAAGGGGCGCAAGCCUGAUCCAGCAAUGCCGCGGGAGUGAUGAAGGCCCUAGGGUUGUAAAGCUCUUUUACCCGGGAAGAUAAUGACGGUACCGGGAGAAUAAGCCCCGGCUAACUCCGUG
RNAcentral lists this ribosomal RNA (433 nucleotides) under uncultured bacterium. RNAcentral's name for it is "partial 16S ribosomal RNA". It matches the Rfam family "Bacterial small subunit ribosomal RNA", at positions 29 to 507 of the family's 1533-position model. The record is from RNAcentral.